Molecule: long non-coding RNA, 738 nt
Organism: Polypterus senegalus (gray bichir)
Lineage: Eukaryota; Metazoa; Chordata; Cladistia; Polypteriformes; Polypteridae
Exons: 3
Source: RefSeq, a predicted model, not a curated record
AAAAAGUAGUGAUUGAAAAUGAAACAUCAGAAAGUGAGGAAGAAUUAAGUGAUCAUGAAGGUGAAGCAGAAAUGCAAGUAAAGCAAAAGCAGAUGAAACGAGCACAGGGCCAAGUUCAGGAAACAAAAGUUAACAGUGUUUGCCAAGGUCGUAAACGAGUGAAGAGGACAAUGUGGAGUGAAGAAGAAACAAGAGCAGUGGAAAAACAUUUGGCCAAAUUUAUAAAUAUAUUUAAAGUGCCAGGAAAGAGAGAGUGUGAGGCCUGCAUCCAAAAUGAACCACAAGCUCUCAAAAAUAGAGAUUGGCUGGGUGUCAAAUUCUAUAUAAAAAAAUUGCCUCACUGAAGAGAAAGGUUUAAAACAAGUGUUUCCGCUAUAAAAGGUGUUCAUUCAAAAUUUAGUUAUGGGAAACAAGUUAAUCCGUUUACAUUAGGUCUUUUCAUGGUAAUUGAAAGCAGCAGUUCCAAAAAGCCAGUUACUUCUUUGCUCUUUAAAUAAUUUGUAUUUUGUACGUUUAUAUGCACUUACAUAAAGACAUACACACGGUUAAUAUUUGCAGGCUAUUUCUUCAUUUAGAAAAAUGAAGAAUAAUCUUAAAAGAGCAGUGCUAUUAGCCUAUUUAGAUUUAAUUUGUUUUCUCUUAAUUAUUAAUGCUCUUAGGUUAAUACAGAAAAAAUAGUUUUUCAAAGUCUUGAUCAUUAGUUAAUUCAAUCAUGGCCAGCGAUUCUAACUUGUGUGG